AAACCUAAGUAAACGCGUUGGGUGUUCUUGUCCGGCCGUUUAUCGAAAACCAACCACGAACUAAGCAUGUAGAAAGCUUGAAAACACGUCGUUUGGACGAGGGUUCGAACCCCUCCGACUCCACAA
Molecule: transfer-messenger RNA, 126 nt
Filed under: Sphingomonadales bacterium
Lineage: Bacteria; Pseudomonadati; Pseudomonadota; Alphaproteobacteria; Sphingomonadales
Description: partial transfer-messenger RNA
Rfam family: transfer-messenger RNA
About the family: Bacterial tmRNA, also known as 10Sa RNA or SsrA, is named for its dual tRNA and mRNA-like properties. Its role is to liberate the mRNA from a stalled ribosome. To accomplish this part of the tmRNA is used as a reading frame that ends in a translation stop signal.
Source: RNAcentral